UAUUAGACAAGGAAAUGUGUAAAAUCUCCCGCUUGAUCAUCAUCGUUGCACGUUGAACUGCAGUCUCAAGGAGGAAGGAACUUGAGAACUCUCUCACGACAAGAAAAAUCUAAGAAAAAAUGAGUUUGGUUCUUAGUGGUUGUCUGAAUCUCAAUUCAUCCAGAAUCUCGAGCUAUAAAUUUCAGAAAAGAAAUAUAUCUGGGCAAUGUAAAACAACGACCAAGAUGCUCGUCAGAGCUUCCGUAGAUGAUGAUGAUACUGGACGAGCUAUUGUCACAUCCGACAUCAGUGGAAGUAGUAGCUUGCAUGUCAAUGCUUUGGUCACUGCUGUUGCAGCUGCAAAUUUGUUUGCAAUAGAUCCAGCAACGGCUUUGACUCUGGAAGACUUAUGUCAGGAAGGAGCAUCAUACAUCCCUCCUUUGGCAGAUAUAGGCUUCGGUGAUUGGUUUGGAGGCGUAUUAUUUUCAGCUGGGCAGAACGCUAAUGAAGCAGUUCAGGACCAGUUAGCAGCUCUGAGUUUUACUAGUUUAGCAGUUAUUUUUGGGGCAGGGCUUGUAACUAGCUUAUCCCCUUGUACACUUAGUGUCCUUCCACUGACUCUUGGUUACAUUGGGGCAUUUGGAUCCGGGAAAAGCAGAGGACAGUCUUUCUUUUCUGGUUAUAUUCUGGGGGAUUCAGUUGCUUUCUCAUUGGGACUAGCAACAACAUUAGCAAUCCUAGGUGUGGCUGCCUCUGUUGCUGGGAAGGCUUACGGACAAGUAGGGCAGGGGCUACCAGUGUUUGCUUCUGGCUUGGCUGUGGUUAUGGGUUUAAAUCUGUUGGAGGUUAUUGAGUUGCGACUCCCCUCAUUUUUCGACAACUUCGACCCACGUGCUGCGGCUGCUAAUUUCCCUUCAAGUGUACAAGCAUAUUUGGCUGGGCUUACAUUUGCGCUGGCUGCCUCACCUUGCAGUACACCUGUGCUAGCCACUCUGCUCGGAUAUGUAGCAACAUCCAAGGACCCCAUUAUAGGAGGUACCUUGCUGCUGACAUACACUACCGGCUAUGUGGCUCCACUUCUUCUUGCUGCUUCUUUUGCGGGUGCGUUGCAGGUAUAGUUUUGCUCAACUUUGAUAAACCAGAAAGAACUAUCUGAGAGAACUUAGUGAUAUCAUUAUCUGGAUAUCGUCAUUUACUUUACUUGGAUGAUUUUUUCUUUCUUUCUUCACUAUCUAAUCAAAGCAACAAGGAUAAUUUAAAUCAAUUCAUUGAAAUGCAUGUCUUAUUUGAUGUGCGGAGCUUGUUGUCAUUUCGUAAAUUCUCGGCAUGGAUUAACCCUACAAGUGGUGCACUCCUGUUGGGAGGAGGCAUUUACACUUUCUUGGAUAGGCUCUUCCCUGUCACAAUGGCAAUGUAGGGAUCAAGUUUUUGUGAAAACAACUGCUAAGAUGCAAGUCCAAAGGAAAAAACAUGUGCAAGCUGUUCUAUAUUUGUAUUGUUUUACACUCGCUUGAUCUUUUAUAAAAUGUGAAAAGACAGAGCUUGUUACCACUUACAGUUACAUGUUUAACCAUCUUGUUGUAUACCAUGUAUAUAUAUGCAAUGGAAGCUUCCUCAUUCUGUUCUUGGAUGA
This is an RNA transcript of Papaver somniferum (opium poppy), 1612 nucleotides long. It is a transcript of the gene named cytochrome c-type biogenesis ccda-like chloroplastic protein 2, with no coding region annotated. Lineage: Eukaryota; Viridiplantae; Streptophyta; Magnoliopsida; Ranunculales; Papaveraceae. The record is from RefSeq and is a predicted model, not a curated record. The transcript is spliced from 12 exons.